CCUACGGGGGGCAGCAGUGAGGAAUAUUGGUCAAUGGGCGGGAGCCUGAACCAGCCAAGCCGCGUGAGGGAAGAAGGUACAGCGUAUCGUAAACCUCUUUUGUCAGGGAACAAAGGCGGGGACUAGUCCCCGGAUGAGGGUACCUGAAGAAAAAGCAUCGGCUAACUCCGUGCCAGCAGCCGCGGUAAUACGGAGGAUGCGAGCGUUAUCCGGAUGUAUUGGGUUUAAAGGGUGCGCAGGCGGCCUGUUAAGUCAGCGGUAAAAGCCCGGGGCUCAACCCCGGCGAGCCGUUGAAACUGGCGGGCGGGAGUUGGAGAGAAGUACGCGGAAUGCGCGGUGUAGCGGUGAAAUGCUUAGAUAUCGCGCAGAACCCCGAUUACGAAGGCAGCGUACCGGCUCCACACUGACGCUGAGGCACGAAAGCGUGGGUAUCGAACAGGAUUAGAUACCCGGGUAGUC
RNAcentral lists this ribosomal RNA (459 nucleotides) under uncultured bacterium. RNAcentral's name for it is "partial 16S ribosomal RNA". It matches the Rfam family "Bacterial small subunit ribosomal RNA", at positions 338 to 795 of the family's 1533-position model. The record is from RNAcentral.